Microcebus murinus (gray mouse lemur) is the source of this 2383-nucleotide non-coding RNA. Lineage: Eukaryota; Metazoa; Chordata; Mammalia; Primates; Cheirogaleidae. The record is from RefSeq and is a predicted model, not a curated record.
AACUACCUUGGUUUCCAGAGGCCUCAGCUGCGUUCUUGUCUAGGUCCUUUGACAUUGUUCUAUGUUCAAGAAAGGCCAUUUGCACAAGAUAAAAGUGGGCCACCCAUUUUUCCUCCUGAUAGGAUGGAAAACUGCUAAAAUAGGACAUUAAUCUCCUUCCAGGAAGGGGAGUGGACCGAUCCCUCGUGAGGGCUCGGGGUGGGCAAUGGCAUGUGGCCAGGGUGAGAGCCCGCCCCUGCUCUGAACUCCCAGCUGCAUGGUCAGCACAGCUCCGUGGGUGUGCAAACCAGGUUGCAGCUGCAGCAGCAAAAAGGCCACUGACAACAUGCCAACAUGACCAACAGAAACGGCGCCUAAAGAGUGAAGCAGAGUGCCUGGGAGCAGGGCCUGCAGCUCGGCCCAGCAGGUGCAAGUUGGGAAAACUACACGUCUCAAUGCAGAAGACACUCAGAGCAACACGGAACACCCCAGCAGGAACUUCAGGCCAGCCUGAGCGGGAAUGGAGCCUCAGCCACGGUGGAAGGACAUCCAGAGACAAACUCCAGGUGAUAGAAGAUACUGUAAGCUUGACUGUGCUCACGUAUAUUCAACGAUCGCCCACGUUGCCGUAUUCCCCCAUGAGGGAAGCCCACGCUCCUGGUUGCUGGUCACUGCGGAGUCCCAUGCCAAGGAUCCUGGUAACCCUGGUAACAAGAAGUUUCCCUGCUGUUUUGACUGUGUGUCUCCCAGGGCUGGGGGUGGGGGCGAGCUGGGCUCGGUGCAGUGGCUGCCAGAGCUCCUGCUCUGCUCUCCCCCCACGCCUUGCUCGCUGCCCACCCUGCCAUGGCCUCUUUUCUAUUUCUUCUCCUUAGCCCACCCUGUCUCGUGGACGGGGAAGAUGGUGAGAACAGUGACGACCCCCUCAGGAGGGAGGUAGAGCCCCAGAAUCCUGCAAUGAUGAACUCUCUGCUCACUGGGGUCCAGGUCUGCCCCAGGGACUAGACCCCCAGAAAGCAGCAGGGCCCAUUUUCAGAAAAUGAGAGGCAUUUGUUCCCUGAGCUUGUUGCAUGAAAGCACUGUUUCUUUUCUUUUUCGAAUGUUAAAAAAGGUAAAUAUUCCAGCAGGUGGAAAGCAGGGAAAUACAGCAGGGUCCCAAUGAUAAGCAUCAGCAUGGACCCAGGACACUCACUAAACACACAGACUCGCUGUGACGAAGCUGCGGGGACAGAAGAACAUGGGGCCACAGGCAGCCCUCACCCUCCCAGGCCGAGGCUCACUGGUCCUCCCCGCAGGUUGCUCUGGAGCCUCCGCCCUCAGCCCUAUAAACACACACCUAUAAACACAGCUGACUCCUCACUCCCCACACUCGCCUCCUGCUCUCCCUGCUCCAGGCGACCCCAGCAUGAGGACCCUCGCCCUCCUCGCUGCCCUCCUCCUGCUGGCCCUCCAGGCCCAGGCCGGGCCCCUGAAAGAGAGAGAUGACGGGGCCCCAGCCCAGGAGCAGCCCGGGACAGAGGACCGGGACAUGAUCAUCUCCUUUACAGGGGACAGGAUCUCAGCUGUCAGAAUUGCAGGUGAGAGACCCCAACACUGCAGAGCUGGGGCGACUAGAGAGGAAACCCAGAUUCCUCUGGAAUCAGUCCCAGCCACGGCCUCUGUGUGUCUUCAGGUGAUCACCUCCCCAGGCCUCAGUUUCCUCCUGUGUACACUGAAGAGAAAGAACCAUAUGAUAGGAAGACACCUUUUUACUCUGAAGAUGUUUGACUCUAUGACAAUUCUGUGAAAUGCACUAAUGUCAUGAUUUGUCGCAGCACAGUGGGGGGUCUCUCCUGCAAUGUCCCCGCAGAGAGCCCAGUUGAAGAGAAAUGUAUCUUAACACUGUCUCUUAGAGGAGCUUUAGAAAGUGGAGACGGCGUCAGGGUGUGUUCAGACGUGAGUGUGACGGGGCAGGGGAGCAAAGUGGGGAGAAAAUGGGAACGGCUCUCGAAUCCUGCCGUGCCCAGCACAGCGCCUGUGUUUAUUCCUGUCGACUGGGGAUGGUCAGUUCUGCCUGGCGCGAUGUCGCCAACAGGAUGAACCCGACUAUCCACCAAGGACCUGCCGGGGACUCCCUUUACCUCCCACCUCUGCGCCAGCCCUAGUGCCCCAUGCUCUCUCUGUGUCCCCAGGCUCAGCCAGGGACUUGACCUGCGCCUGCAGAAAAAGAAGGUGUCGUUCAUCUGAGCGCGUCUCUGGGAGCUGCCUCUCCGAUGGCGAGGAGUACCCGUUCUGCUGCCGCUGAGCACUGAGAACGGAGCACAGUGAGGUCAUCGCGUGCUCUGAGACCUAGAAGGAGACUUUUACUCCUCCUGUCCCUUGUCCCCCACUUCCUUUCCUCAUCUCAAAUAAAGUCCUUGUAGCAAUA